Molecule: ribosomal RNA, 222 nt
Filed under: uncultured bacterium
Lineage: Bacteria
Description: partial 16S ribosomal RNA
Rfam family: Bacterial small subunit ribosomal RNA
Source: RNAcentral
GCAAGUCGAGCGCUUCACUUAGGUGAGGAGCGGCGGAAGGGUUGGUAACGCGUGGGAACAUACCCUUUUCUACGGAAUAGCCUCGGGAAACUGAGAGUAAUACCGUAUACGCCCUUCGGGGGAAAGAUUUAUCGGUGAAGGAUUGGCCCGCGUUAGAUUAGAUAGUUGGUGGGGUAACGGCCUACCAAGUCUACGAUCUAUAGCUGGUUUUAGAGGAUGAUC